This 451-nucleotide ribosomal RNA is filed under the name uncultured bacterium. RNAcentral's name for it is "bacterial SSU rRNA". It matches the Rfam family "Bacterial small subunit ribosomal RNA", at positions 30 to 479 of the family's 1533-position model. The record is from RNAcentral.
AUUGAACGCUGGCGGCAUGCCUUACACAUGCAAGUCGAACGGUAACGCGGGGCAACCUGGCGACGAGUGGCGAACGGGUGAGUAAUAUAUCGGAACGUGCCCAAUAGUGGGGGAUAGCCCGGCGAAAGCCGGAUUAAUACCGCAUACGACCUGAGGGUGAAAGCGGGGGAUCGCAAGACCUCGCGCUAUUGGAGCGGCCGAUAUCAGAUUAGGUAGUUGGUGGGGUAAAGGCCUACCAAGCCUACGAUCUGUAGCUGGUCUGAGAGGACGACCAGCCACACUGGGACUGAGACACGGCCCAGACUCCUACGGGAGGCAGCAGUGGGGAAUUUUGGACAAUGGGCGCAAGCCUGAUCCAGCCAUGCCGCGUGCGGGAAGAAGGCCUCGGUUGUAAACCGCUUUGUCAGGGAAGAAAUCUUCUGGGUUAAUACCUCGGGAGGAUGACGGUACC